This 490-nucleotide long non-coding RNA is filed under the name Citrus sinensis (sweet orange). RNAcentral describes it as "long non-coding RNA (CSIN_LNC000646)". Lineage: Eukaryota; Viridiplantae; Streptophyta; Magnoliopsida; Sapindales; Rutaceae. The record is from RNAcentral.
AACAACCCACUAACACCCAUGAACCAGUGGUGGAGUGAGAUACUCGGCUGCUUAUAAAAGCCCUACAAAGUCAAACCAAGGUAAGACACUUUUAACCAAAGGGAAACUCUAUCUCUUUGAUGCUAGAACUUUUCUUCUGUAAUUGUUUCUUUCUUGUGGGAAUUAAAAUCUUUGCUUCCAAUAGUCAUAAUUAAGCCACGGAGAUUUGUGGCACAAAUAAUUCUUCCAGAAACUUGAUAAUUGACUUGAGCGUCAUAGGGUUUUCGCCGAAAGAACAUCCGGCACCCUCUGACUUUUUCUUGUGGUUGCAGGGGAGGUCAAAGUGAAGUGUUCCUGGACGUCAGUAUCUACUCAAACCAAGCAAGUGGAAGCAGUACCGUCUGCCAUUAAAACAAAUUUAAGUGUUGAUGUAGUUACCUGGUUGAAGUAACAACCAGACCAGAUUUCUGCAUCAACUGUAUAUAAAUUAACAGCCUGUGUUUGAUUUAAU